AAAAAAAAAAAAAAAAAAAAAAAAGUAUUCUGACAUGUCUCAUUAAUUCAGGCCAUUAAAAAUGCAAAAUUUUCUUCCACUGUUGUACCCCAAUAAAAUGAUGGUCACAAGUUAUGAUGUGGGCUCCAGGCAAGACUAGAGCCUGACAUACCCAGUACCUCACAGAUACAUCAAAACCAAACAGAGAGGGAGAGGAAUGUGGAAAGAAGGAAUCAACAGCAGAACCCUACGUCUGGUCAGAGGACCGAAUAUUACUAACACGAGCGGGAAACAGUGAAAAAUAAGUGUAUAGAUAUUGAUCGGAAAAGACUUGUUCUCUUCCUGUAAACUACUUAUUGAAAUGAAGGACAUCAUUUAUGGGAUACUGUAAAGCCGUAAUGUACUGUAGUGUUUUGCUUGAGCUGCAUUUCCUAGAAGCCACUAGAAAGAAGGGCACGUGGAUCACCUACUUCUGUGCUUCAGUAUAAACAAUUUCUCAGAUUGUUAUUGACUUUGUCUGCCUGAUUCCAGUUGUCCUACAGUAUGUGGACAAAUGCUUCAAGGCAGAAGUAACUGGUGAUAGCUUUUAUUAUAUAGAGGCAUACUCAUAUAUUUAGAAGAUAUCCCCUAGCAGAAAUAAGAAUCCUCACCAAGACCUGAUGGAGGAUGGCAACAGUUCCAUAUUCAACAUACAAGGAGGCUGUACUACUGCUCAGUUUGCUCUGACUGGAAAUAUGAACUCAAGGGUUAACAGACAAGCUUGUGUCUUUGUACAAAACUGAUAUGUCAUUUCUGACCUUUGCUGAGUCACUUCUUACACAUCCCCAUGUGAGUGGAAUGAGACAACACAACCACCCUGCUCUCACAGAGUCCAUCAAGUUUCCUUUGGAGGUGAUUAGAAACACUGCACAUUGCCCUUAAAUUAUGGAUACACUCAAGUGCAGCUGUACUGCAAAGUAGUUUUUUAGUUAGAGACAGCUGCAAUAUAAAUGUCUAAAAAACCAUUGUGAUUCAAAUUCACACACAGAUCAAAAUAACAGAAAUAUGAAUGUCUCAAAUAUCAUCAGAAAGCAUAUUCAUACACAAGAAGAAAAAAAUAAAGAAGUUUAAACAAAAGGUAUUCAAACCAAUGAGUUUCAAAUAGACUUUAAAAUAUUUUGUUUCACCAUUGGUAAGAGUCUUAAUUUUCUAAAUCAAUAUGAAGACAGCAGAGAUCUCUCUACAGAUUUUUUCUGUUAUUGGAAUAAAACAAACCCCUUCAGUGUAGAAAAGCCUUUCUGAAUACAGGAAAGUUAGCAGCUGGUAGGGUUAGUAAAGUAUAUAUACAUAUAUUAUUUGGUAAUAAAUACAUGUGUGGGAAUUGCUGAGUCUUGGCCUGAACCACUGAUUGAUCACCUGGGGAAAGGACCAGGUCAGUUCUCGGAGCA
Centrocercus urophasianus (Greater sage-grouse) is the source of this 1406-nucleotide long non-coding RNA. RefSeq lists it as uncharacterized. Lineage: Eukaryota; Metazoa; Chordata; Aves; Galliformes; Phasianidae. The transcript has 5 exons. The record is from RefSeq and is a predicted model, not a curated record.